GCAUGUUCACAUGAUUAAAGGUAUUCCGGUAGACGAUGGGGAUGCGUUCCAUUAGAUAGUAGGCGGGGUAACGGCCCACCUAGUCUUCGAUGGAUAGGGGUUCUGAGAGGAAGGUCCCCCACAUUGGAACUGAGACACGGUCCAAACUCCUACGGGAGGCAGCAGUGAGGAAUAUUGGUCAAUGGGCGAGAGCCUGAACCAGCCAAGUAGCGUGAAGGAUGACUGCCCUAUGGGUUGUAAACUUCUUUUAUAAAGGAAUAAAGUCGGGUAUGCAUACCCGUUUGCAUGUACUUUAUGAAUAAGGAUCGGCUAACUCCGUGCCAGCAGCCGCGGUAAUACGGAGGAUCCGAGCGUUAUCCAGAUUUAUUGGGUUUAAAGGGAGCGUAGAUGGAUGUUUAAGUCAGUUGUGAAAGUUUGCGGCUCAACCGUAAAAUUGCAGUUGAUACUGGAUAUCUUGAGUGCAGUUGAGGCAGGCGGAAUUCGUGGUGUAGCGGUGAAAUGCUUAGAUAUCACGAAGAACUCCGAUUGCGAAGGCAGCCUGCUAAGCUGCAACUGACAUUGAGGCUCGAAAGUGUGGGUAUCAAACAGGAUUAGAUACCCUGGUAGUCCACACGGUAAACGAUGAAUACUCGCUGUUUGCGAUAUACAGCAAGCG
Molecule: ribosomal RNA, 655 nt
Filed under: uncultured bacterium
Lineage: Bacteria
Description: bacterial SSU rRNA
Rfam family: Bacterial small subunit ribosomal RNA
Source: RNAcentral